This 527-nucleotide ribosomal RNA is filed under the name Pichia kudriavzevii. RNAcentral's name for it is "partial large subunit ribosomal RNA". It matches the Rfam family "Eukaryotic large subunit ribosomal RNA", at positions 99 to 648 of the family's 3401-position model. The record is from RNAcentral. Lineage: Eukaryota; Fungi; Ascomycota; Pichiomycetes; Pichiales; Pichiaceae.
GCGGCAGAGCUCAGAUUUGAAAUCGUGCUUUGCGGCACGAGUUGUAGAUUGCAGGUUGGAGUCUGUGUGGAAGGCGGUGUCCAAGUCCCUUGGAACAGGGCGCCCAGGAGGGUGAGAGCCCCGUGGGAUGCCGGCGGAAGCAGUGAGGCCCUUCUGACGAGUCGAGUUGUUUGGGAAUGCAGCUCCAAGCGGGUGGUAAAUUCCAUCUAAGGCUAAAUACUGGCGAGAGACCGAUAGCGAACAAGUACUGUGAAGGAAAGAUGAAAAGCACUUUGAAAAGAGAGUGAAACAGCACGUGAAAUUGUUGAAAGGGAAGGGUAUUGCGCCCGACAUGGGGAUUGCGCACCGCUGCCUCUCGUGGGCGGCGCUCUGGGCUUUCCCUGGGCCAGCAUCGGUUCUUGCUGCAGGAGAAGGGGUUCUGGAACGUGGCUCUUCGGAGUGUUAUAGCCAGGGCCAGAUGCUGCGUGCGGGGACCGAGGACUGCGGCCGUGUAGGUCACGGAUGCUGGCAGAACGGCACAACACCGC